This 254-nucleotide ribosomal RNA is filed under the name uncultured bacterium. RNAcentral describes it as "partial 16S ribosomal RNA". It matches the Rfam family "Bacterial small subunit ribosomal RNA", at positions 524 to 776 of the family's 1533-position model. The record is from RNAcentral.
UACGGGGGGAGCAAGCGUUGUUCGGAUUUACUGGGCGUAAAGGGCGCGUAGGCGGCCUCCGCAAGUCAGUUGUGAAAUCUCCGAGCUUAACUCGGAAAGGUCAACUGAUACUGCGGGGCUAGAGUGCGGAAGGGGCAACUGGAAUUCUCGGUGUAGCGGUGAAAUGCGUAGAUAUCGAGAGGAACACCUGCGGCGAAGGCGGGUAGCUGGGCCGACACUGACGCUGAGGCGCGAAAGCCAGGGGAGCGAACGGG